UAGGAUAGCUCAGCUGGUAGAGUCUGAGACUCUUAACCUCAGGGUUGUGGGUUCAAGUCCCACAUUGGGCAAAA
Podarcis lilfordi (Lilford's wall lizard) is the source of this 74-nucleotide non-coding RNA. NCBI's taxonomy places the organism in Eukaryota, Metazoa, Chordata, Lepidosauria, Squamata, Lacertidae. The record is from the annotation of a GenBank genome assembly.